This 891-nucleotide non-coding RNA is filed under the name Pongo abelii (Sumatran orangutan). Lineage: Eukaryota; Metazoa; Chordata; Mammalia; Primates; Hominidae. The record is from RNAcentral.
CUAACUCAUAGCCCUGUAUUUUGCUAAGUUUUUCCUCUACUCUUGAGUCCCCCUUUAAUCUAUAGAGUAUUAUUCUACACAGGACCUCUCUCUUAUUUUUUGGAGUCUAGCAUCUUGCAACUUCCUGGAGCCCCAACUAAACUCAUAACUUCUAAGCUUCUAAGAAAUAUAUGACGAGCUCCAUGAGGGCCAAGGCUGUCCAUUCUUGUUCACCACUGCACACUCAGGAGCAUGCUGGCUGUGCUAAUUCUAUCCUCAACAGAAUAAUUGCUGACAAACUUUCUUGCCCAGAAAAUGUCUAUUGGAAUUAUGGAGUACAAAAAAACUACAAAAGCAGUGAAAAAAAAGAAGGAUGUUUUAUUUACAUGCUAUUUCAAAACCAUUGCUUUCUUGGUAUUGUAUGUCUCUGCAGGCCCAAUAUGGCACAUCUGCAUAAGAAGUUUAGAAUUGUUCCUUAUGUUUCCUUCUAACAAACACUGGUAUAUUCACUUGAAAGUGUAUAUUUUAUUCACUUCCAAAACAGUUAGCUCAUAAUUCGGAACACCGAGGUUUGCAAAAUGACUGAAGGAAAGUUUACCUAGACAAUAGUUGCCAGUUCUGCUGAGAAUUAUCACAGGCCCACAACAGCCGUGUGUUUUUCCAUACAGAUAUUCUAAUUUUUUUUUAUUAUGCAGCUAAUUUUUUUUUAGACUCAUGAAUAAAAUAGCAAGUCAGUCUGUGCGUAAGCAUAUGUUUAAAUCUACCAGGCGAAAUGUCUGGAAUCUUUUUGGUUAUUAAAAUUAAAAUUCAGAAUAAUGAAAGGCAUAUGCAACUUAUUGUAUUCCUUAUAUAACUUAUUUCAUCUAAUCCUCCAAAUAGCUAUACAACAUAUUUAUCCCCACCUUACAUAGA